CCACCUUUAUCUCCGUGACGGUGAGAUAUCGUGAUGUCCUUACUGGGCUAGUGUAGCUCAUUCCUUAUUUAAUCAUUUCAGAUCAGGAAGACAUUGUUCCCGAGCCCGUUCCGCAAGAAGACGACGAAGGGGACGCCUAAAGACUCCAAAGUCAUAUUCAUAGUUUACUUUCGAAUUUCUCUUUUAGUUAGUUUGAUCUUUUAUAUUUUGAGCACGUUUUUGGUUUUAGUGUAAGGGAUGUUAAUCGAAUUUUGACUUCGCUUCCGCAUUUGAUAUUUUUAAUAUACAUUCCAUUUUAAAUUUCCG
This 306-nucleotide long non-coding RNA is filed under the name Carica papaya (papaya). RNAcentral describes it as "long non-coding RNA (CPAP_LNC005488)". Lineage: Eukaryota; Viridiplantae; Streptophyta; Magnoliopsida; Brassicales; Caricaceae. The record is from RNAcentral.